AGUUUUUUUUUUUUUUUUUUUUUUUUGCAAUAUGUUCUUACG
RNAcentral lists this non-coding RNA (42 nucleotides) under Prorocentrum micans. Lineage: Eukaryota; Dinophyceae; Prorocentrales; Prorocentraceae. The record is from RNAcentral.